Molecule: ribosomal RNA, 496 nt
Filed under: uncultured bacterium
Lineage: Bacteria
Description: partial 16S ribosomal RNA
Rfam family: Bacterial small subunit ribosomal RNA
Source: RNAcentral
GAUGAACGCUGGCGGCGUGCCUAAUACAUGCAAGUCGAGCGAACAGACGAGGAGCUUGCUCCUCUGACGUUAGCGGCGGACGGGUGAGUAACACGUGGAUAACCUACCUAUAAGACUGGGAUAACUUCGGGAAACCGGAGCUAAUACCGGAUAAUAUAUUGAACCGCAUGGUUCAAUAGUGAAAGACGGUUUUGCUGUCACUUAUAGAUGGAUCCGCGCCGCAUUAGCUAGUUGGUAAGGUAACGGCUUACCAAGGCAACGAUGCGUAGCCGACCUGAGAGGUGAAUGGGCAAAACUGAAAUUGAGAAAGGGCCAAGAUCCUAAGGGGAGGCAGAAUAGGGAAUCUUCCGCAAUGGGCGAAAGCCUGACGGAGCAACGCCGCGUGAGUGAUGAAGGUCUUCGGAUCGUAAAACUCUGUUAUUAGGGAAGAACAAAUGUGUAAGUAACUAUGCACGUCUUGACGGUACCUAAUCAGAAAGCCACGGCUAACUACGUG